GUGGGGAAUAUUGCACAAUGGGCGAAAGCCUGAUGCAGCGAUGCCGCGUGAGGGAAGAAGGUUUUAGGAUUGUAAACCUCUGUCUUUGGGGACGAUAAUGACGGUACCCAAGGAGGAAGCUCCGGCUAACUACGUGCCAGCAGCCGCGGUAAUACGUAGGGAGCGAGCGUUGUCCGGAAUUACUGGGUGUAAAGGGAGCGUAGGCGGGAUUGCAAGUCAGGUGUGAAAUUUAGGGGCUUAACCCCUGAACUGCACUUGAAACUGUAGUUCUUGAGUGAAGUAGAGGUAAGCGGAAUUCCUAGUGUAGCGGUGAAAUGCGUAGAUAUUAGGAGGAACAUCAGUGGCGAAGGCGGCUUACUGGGCUUUAACUGACGCUGAGGCUCGAAAGCGUGGGGAGCAAACAGGAUUAGAUACCCUAGUAGUCC
This 425-nucleotide ribosomal RNA is filed under the name uncultured bacterium. RNAcentral describes it as "bacterial SSU rRNA". It matches the Rfam family "Bacterial small subunit ribosomal RNA", at positions 354 to 796 of the family's 1533-position model. The record is from RNAcentral.